AGAGCUGUAACUCAGUUGUAGAGUCCUUGCCUACCAAGUAUGAAACCUUGGGUUCAAUCCCCAGUAACUCAA
Molecule: transfer RNA, 72 nt
Filed under: Ictidomys tridecemlineatus (thirteen-lined ground squirrel)
Lineage: Eukaryota; Metazoa; Chordata; Mammalia; Rodentia; Sciuridae
Description: Spermophilus tridecemlineatus (thirteen-lined ground squirrel) tRNA
Rfam family: tRNA
About the family: Transfer RNA (tRNA) molecules are approximately 80 nucleotides in length. Their secondary structure includes four short double-helical elements and three loops (D, anti-codon, and T loops).
Source: Rfam by way of RNAcentral